RNAcentral lists this unclassified non-coding RNA (355 nucleotides) under soil metagenome. RNAcentral's name for it is "partial contains 5.8S ribosomal RNA, internal transcribed spacer 2, and large subunit ribosomal RNA". The stretch from base 1 to 120 matches the Rfam family "5.8S ribosomal RNA", at positions 35 to 154 of the family's 154-position model. The record is from RNAcentral.
GAUGAAGAACGUAGCGAAAUGCGAUAAGUAAUGUGAAUUGCAGAAUUCAGUGAAUCAUCGAAUCUUUGAACGCACAUUGCGCCCAUUAGUAUUCUAGUGGGCAUGCCUGUUCGAGCGUCAUUAAGUCCACUUAAGCCCUGCUUAGUGUUGGGAGACUGCUCCAGCGGUGCUACCCUGUAGCUACCCUGCAGCUCCUCAAAGACAGCGGCGGAGUUGUGGUAUCCUCUGAGCUUAGUAACUUGUUCUAGCUUUCGAGUACACCACUUCCCCUGCCGUAAAACCCUUAAUUUUUAAUGGUUGACCUCGGAUCAGGUAGGAAUAGCCGCUGAACUUAAGCAUAUCAAUAAGCGGAGGA